GGAAGUGGAGCUCAGGGGUAGAGCGCUUGCCCAGGAUGCACGAGGCCCUGGGUUCCAGCCCCAGCACUGCAA
Molecule: transfer RNA, 72 nt
Filed under: Heterocephalus glaber (naked mole-rat)
Lineage: Eukaryota; Metazoa; Chordata; Mammalia; Rodentia; Bathyergidae
Rfam family: tRNA
About the family: Transfer RNA (tRNA) molecules are approximately 80 nucleotides in length. Their secondary structure includes four short double-helical elements and three loops (D, anti-codon, and T loops).
Source: Rfam by way of RNAcentral